Long non-coding RNA from Drosophila navojoa, 554 nucleotides. Lineage: Eukaryota; Metazoa; Arthropoda; Insecta; Diptera; Drosophilidae. The record is from RefSeq and is a predicted model, not a curated record.
GAUACAGGAGCAUUUUAAGUGAUUAGUGAUAUAUUUUGUUAGUUUCAUGGUGUGCAAAAUAUGUAUUGCGUAAUUUUUGUCAGCUGGAGUUUUUGUGGUAAGGACGCGAAUGAAGGAAUGCACAUAAAGUGAGAGAGGUGGAGAGUGGCGAACAAAUGCGCGUUGUGAGCGGAAAAUAAUAAGAGAGACACAAAUGAGUGCAGACAUGUGCUCUCAACAUUGCGGCGCAUCAGUUCAGAUUUUUGUUGCUGCCAUUCAGAUUCAGAUUCAGUUGUUAUCUGUAAGUCGCCCCGUGUCGUCGAGUGUGCGGAUUAAACGCAUGCAUCAUACGCAUCGCUCCCUAUACUAAACCAAGGGUAUUCGGUAUUCUAUUUGAUUGAGGUAAACAAAACAAAGGCGUGCAUUAUAAUAAUACUAAAAGCCUCUGGGCAUUGCCUGAACAUACAUGAGUCUCUCGUGUGGCAUAUGCCUCAGAUAAUGUGCGUGCAAUCAAAAACGGUAAAUCGCGUGUAAUUUCAAAACAUAAAUAAAUCAUAAUUGGACUUGAAUAUUAA